Molecule: ribosomal RNA, 323 nt
Filed under: uncultured eukaryote
Lineage: Eukaryota
Description: partial 18S ribosomal RNA
Rfam family: Eukaryotic small subunit ribosomal RNA
Source: RNAcentral
CCCUUAGAUGUUCUGGGCCGCACGCGUGCUACACUGAGUGGAUCAGCGGGUCAGGUUGCGCGAAAGUGUUUCCUAAUCUUGAAAUCCGCUCGUGAUGGGGAUUGACGGUUGCAAUUUUCCGUCAUGAACGAGGAAUACCUUGUAAGCGCGGGUCAUCAUCCCGCGCUGAAUACGUCCCUGCCCUUUGUACACACCGCCCGUCGCUCCUACCGAUUGAGUGGUCCGGUGAGGCUUUGGGAUCUGAGCGGAAAGAGCGUUUCGCUGUUUCUGCUCGGAAAACUCAGUCGAACCUUAUCAUUUAGAGGAAGGAGAAGUCGUAACAA